AAAAAAGACACUCCGUUCUGGGUGUUGGUGAUUUAUCUCUAGUUCCUUUGGUAUUCAUUUUCACUCGGAAAAAAGAUAAACAGCAUGAAAUUGACGCUGCUGAAGUUUCCUUGUCAUGAUGAAAGGGAUGGUAAAGAGGAUAUGGAGCAUUAAAGAUAUAGACAUAAGCAACUUAAGAGCAAUUCUUUCUGUAAACUAAAUGAAAGGAAAUUCCUUUCUGGCAAGGCAACCAAGCAACUCUAUGGGAAAGUAGUUUGCCCUCCAA
Molecule: unclassified non-coding RNA, 265 nt
Filed under: Hevea brasiliensis (rubber tree)
Lineage: Eukaryota; Viridiplantae; Streptophyta; Magnoliopsida; Malpighiales; Euphorbiaceae
Source: RNAcentral